UGUGUAUGCUCCAGCAAUGUAUGCGUGUGUGUGCGGGCUUGAAAACUUGACGAAAAUUCGUCGAGUUUUGUCCCUUUACCACUCCAUAGCGGAAGAAGAGAAUCAAAAAGGAAUGAGUGCUGUCGUUCCAAGUCAAGUUCCUAAAAGGGAAAUCAUUUUAUGCGUUUUUGCGUCUUCCUUCAUCAGAAUCGUCAGAAUUAAGAUUAAGGGUAAGUGAGA
This is a long non-coding RNA of Drosophila pseudoobscura, 219 nucleotides long. RefSeq lists it as uncharacterized. The transcript has 2 exons. The record is from RefSeq and is a predicted model, not a curated record. Lineage: Eukaryota; Metazoa; Arthropoda; Insecta; Diptera; Drosophilidae.